Molecule: long non-coding RNA, 342 nt
Organism: Bos taurus (domestic cattle)
Lineage: Eukaryota; Metazoa; Chordata; Mammalia; Artiodactyla; Bovidae
Source: Ensembl
GUGAGAGCACAAAGCAGUAAAGUAGGCAGGCUCUGGUUAUGGGGGUAGAUGCUCGAGGAUUUCCAGGGGGACUCCUGAGGCUCCAUCCCGCCUUUGCAUAUGUCGAGCCUCCUUCCUCAUGACCUUUGCCAUGGGCGGAGUGCCUCCCGCCGGCUCCCCGCAGUCAAUGGAUUGAAUGAUGUCUACCUGUACUGGUGAGGGUAUUCUUCUGAGUCAAAUGCUGCUGUCUUCAAGAAACACUCAAAGACACACCAAGAAAUAGCAUUUUGCCAUCUGUCCAGGCAUCCCUUAGCCCAGGAAUGUGGAGAAAAGUGGGAAAGAGACAGGGAUGGAAGCUAGACC